RNAcentral lists this ribosomal RNA (530 nucleotides) under Myriophora wellsorum. Its description in RNAcentral is "partial 16S ribosomal RNA". The stretch from base 397 to 530 matches the Rfam family "Bacterial large subunit ribosomal RNA", at positions 2473 to 2606 of the family's 2925-position model. The record is from RNAcentral. Lineage: Eukaryota; Metazoa; Arthropoda; Insecta; Diptera; Phoridae.
AAAAACAUGUCUUUUAGAAAUUUAAUUUAAAGUCUAGCCUGCCCACUGAAUUUUUUUAAAUGGCCGCAGUAUCCUAACUGUGCAAAGGUAGCAUAAUCAUUAGUCUUUUAAUUGAAGGCUGGAAUGAAUGGUUGGAUGAAAUAUUAACUGUUUCAUAAAAAUUUAUAAUAGAAUUUUAUUUUUUAGUCAAAAAGCUAAAAUAUUCUUAAAAGACGAGAAGACCCUAUAAAUCUUUAUAUUUAGAAAAUUACAAUUAUUUAGAUAACUUUAAUUUUACUUUUUUUAAAUAUUUUAUUGGGGUGAUAUUAAAAUUUAAUAAACUUUUAAUUUAUUUUAAACAUAAAUUAAUGAAUUAUUGAUCCAUAAAUUAUGAUUAAAAAAUUAAGUUACUUUAGGGAUAACAGCGUAAUUUUUUUAGAGAGUUCAUAUUGAUAAAAAAGAUUGCGACCUCGAUGUUGGAUUAAGAUACAGUUUUAGGUGCAGCAGCUUAAACUUAAAGUCUGUUCGACUUUUAAAUUCUUACAUGAUCU